AUUUAUAUAAUAUAAAUUAAUUAUAUCUGACUUCCAAUCAGAAAACCUAUCAUAUAGUAUAAAUA
RNAcentral lists this transfer RNA (65 nucleotides) under Trigonopterus sp. 4 AH-2016. RNAcentral describes it as "tRNA-Gly". Lineage: Eukaryota; Metazoa; Arthropoda; Insecta; Coleoptera; Curculionidae. The record is from RNAcentral.